Molecule: ribosomal RNA, 516 nt
Filed under: uncultured Glomus
Lineage: Eukaryota; Fungi; Glomeromycota; Glomeromycetes; Glomerales; Glomeraceae
Description: SSU rRNA
Rfam family: Eukaryotic small subunit ribosomal RNA
Source: RNAcentral
AGCAGCCGCGUAAUUCCAGCUCCAAUAGCGUAUAAUAAAGUUGUUGCAGUUAAAAAGCUCGUAGUUGAAUUUCGGGGUUAGUAGGUUGGUCGUGCCUCUGGUAUGUACUCGCCUUACUGAUUCCUCCUUCUUGAAGAACUGUAAUGCCAUUAAUUUGGUGUUGCAGGGAAACAGGACUGUUACUUUGAAAAAAUUAGAGUGUUUAAAGCAGGCCGAUGCCUGAAUACAUUAGCAUGGAAUAAUGAAAUAGGACGUUGAUCCUAUUUUGUUGGUUUCUAGGAUUGACGUAAUGAUAAAUAGGGAUAGUUGGGGGCAUUAGUAUUCAAUUGUCAGAGGUGAAAUUCUUGGAUUUAUUGAAGACUAACUACUGCGGAAGCUUUGCCAAGGAUGUUUUCAUUAAUCAAGAACGAAAGUUAGGGGAUCGAAGACGAUCAGAUACCGUCGUAGUCUUAACCAUAAACUAUGCCGACUAGGACCGGAUGAUGUUAAUUUUUUAAUGACUCAUUCGCGCUACGG